AUUGAACGCUGGCGGAAUGCUUUACACAUGCAAGUCGAGCGGCAGCGCGGCCUUCGGGCUGGCGGCGAGCGGCGAACGGGUGAGUAAUGCAUCGGAACAUGCCCAGUCGUGGGGGAUAACACUUCGAAAGAAGUGCUAAUACCGCAUACGUCCUGAGGGGGAAAGCGGGGGAUCGCAAGACCUCGCGCGAUUGGAGUGGCCGAUGCCAGAUUAGCUAGUUGGUGGGGUAAAGGCCUACCAAGGCGACGAUCUGUAGCUGGUCUGAGAGGAUGAUCAGCCACACUGGGACUGAGACACGGCCCAGACUCCUACGGGAGGCAGCAGUGGGGAAUUUUGGACAAUGGGGGCAACCCUGAUCCAGCCAUUCCGCGUGCGUGAAGAAGGCCUUCGGGUUGUAAAGCUCUUUCGGCAGGAACGAAACGGUGGGCUCUAACAUAGUCCGCUAAUGACGGUACCUGAAGAAGAAGCACCGGCUAACUACGUG
RNAcentral lists this ribosomal RNA (484 nucleotides) under uncultured bacterium. RNAcentral describes it as "partial 16S ribosomal RNA". It matches the Rfam family "Bacterial small subunit ribosomal RNA", at positions 29 to 507 of the family's 1533-position model. The record is from RNAcentral.